CUCUUACCCUGUCACCUAGCGUCUUGUGGCCAGGUCAGCACAUGGCACAUGAUGGGCAUACAGUGGUCGUUUACUGAGUGAAGAAAGUGAGCCGUCAGGCGGGUGGGCCUGGUUUGGAGUUUCUGCAUCCGGAUUGAGGUCCUACUUUGGCUGGUACUCAUAGUUACCUUUUGCCAUCAAAGCAGCACAGGUAAUUCCUGACAUUUCUAGGAAUUCUUUGAAUUAUGACCUAAUGAACAUUCCAUGAGGUGACUUCAUUGCUGCAAUUUAAAAAGUUCUGGAAAGAGGGCCAUGACCGCAAUUACAUCUGACCCCACUAGGUGCCGCUGCUGUCGCUGCUCAUGGAAGAUGUUUGGCCCGGAGGUGGGGUCCCUGCCUUCUGUCCUGGAGAAGGAGAUGGACUCCUGCUGCAGAGACUGGACGAGUUUCCUUCUGAAGCUCCUGAUGCUUCACGGAGCUGGGUUUUUGAGCUGCUUGAGCAAGAAGGGAGAUAGGACGUGCAUUCCUGCUGGGUCCUCAGCUCUGGACGUGUGAGCUGUGGCCCCAACUCCCCUGAGUCUGACUGACUUAAGAGCGAAGCGGGAAGACCGAGCAGAGUGUGACAGUCCCUUUAACAAAGGUCCCAUGGGGGACCAGCUCUCCUGGCGGACGGCUCAUCACCAAAGGCUCAGUGUGUGUGAACGCACGGCAAUUUCGGGAUGCCGGGCUGUGCGGGCCAUUCUUUCCUUUUCUCCCUCAUGUGUAUUUUCUGCACAGACAUGUACUUGUAGUAAAAUAAGAGAAAAAAAGGUAUUUGAAAAAUAGAAGUAAACAAAUUAUAGCUUUUAUUUUUGUGGAAACUCAAUAAGAAACAUUAUAUAGGCAUUUAGAAAAAGACUUCAGAGGCAAAACUUUUGAGGGGCAUGUUUUUAUUAUAAAUGUAAUAUGUUUGAUUAAUGAAAAAUCACAAUGAAGUACCGAGAAAAUGUUUGUCAAUAUAAAAGUUUUAGCAGCAUUUCCAUAGUUUCAGGCUCUAGCAUUAGUCACGCUUCCUCCCGCUAUCGAAAAAGAAGACGCCAGUGGGGCUCCAGCAGAACAUCGUGCUGCUCCACUUAGUGAAGGCCUCAAGGAAGUCAAGUCCAGUGUAUUGUCUAACAGCUCAGCCCUCCCCACUCCUGAGCUUCCAGAAUGUCAGAGCACUUGCCUCCGUGUCUGAGGUUAGAGGUCCAUCCUUCAGGCUGCAGGGGAGGAGGGGGUGGAAAUUCAAACUGGACUUGAUAUGUAGUGCUCGGUCACACGUCCUCGCCGCUGUACCUUCUCUACACUGACAACAACGAAGGGCCAAGAUCUGGCACGGGGCAGCAGUGGCAGCGUGGUGGCGGGGAGGGGGACCGGAAGUGGGACGUGCACACACGCGGGGGGCUGGUGCCUCACCAUACACCCUGCUCCAGGGCAGCUCAGAGCAUGGUGGUCCUGCCGCAUCCCAGGCUAAUGGUAGGAUUAGUGAGAAGGGGAGACAAACAGUAUGAAAAUAUAAUACUGGCAAACUAUUCCCCUGCUUCUUUGGUACUUUCCAAACUUCUCUGAUCAAAAAAGGAUAAGGGAAGCACACCAUUAAAAAAUUACAGUUUUAAGUAUUUACAGAAGCAAUUAUGAUAUAUUACAUAAUCAAUACACAGUAUAUGAACAAAUUCUUCAGUGAAAGCACUUGUGAACUCCUGUUCCAGUAUUCAGUAGCACACUGACACACAUACACCUUCCCAAAUGGGUAUCAUCCAUCCUGUAUCUCAC
This is a long non-coding RNA of Orcinus orca (killer whale), 1770 nucleotides long. RefSeq lists it as uncharacterized. The transcript is spliced from 2 exons. NCBI's taxonomy places the organism in Eukaryota, Metazoa, Chordata, Mammalia, Artiodactyla, Delphinidae. The record is from RefSeq and is a predicted model, not a curated record.